Molecule: long non-coding RNA, 631 nt
Organism: Ceratosolen solmsi marchali
Lineage: Eukaryota; Metazoa; Arthropoda; Insecta; Hymenoptera; Agaonidae
Exons: 3
Source: RefSeq, a predicted model, not a curated record
UGUAUUUCAAUAGAGAAUUGCAUACACACCUUAUCGAACGCUGGUAUCGAAUUUACGAGUUUAAUAUACAUGUAUCGAUAAUAAGUGCAGGAACGUGCGAGUGCAUUGAUUUAUGUGCCAGAUGGAUUUUCUUUUUACAUUUUGAAUGCUGGUUAAUAAGUCCAAGACACAGACGGAUAGGAGCACCUUACGAUAAUUGUCAGACAUGUUCGCGAAUGUUCCGUUAAAGCAUCGAGCCGACGAUCCCCGAGGAACGUUGAACAGCCUUUUCACAAUAAAGCAACUAAUUUGGAGCAAACGGAAGAGUUCAGAAAUCAGCUAUAUUUGAACAAACAGAUAAUUUAUUCACUUCCUGUAGCCGCUUAAAAAAGGCCUCUUGCAAUCUCUUGCGCAAGCGACUCGAUCAAAUUAACAAUGGGAGUACUUUAAAUAUUUAAAAACAAAGGAGAAAGCACUUAUCUCACUACGAAAACAACAUCGAUAAAAUCAGAUUGUGUAUAAUUUGAAUUUUUGUAAAUAAUUAAGAGAAAAAUUAUUCAAUGACUACCGAUAACAAACACCGACUUGCGACCUCUGCAUAAAUUCAAAUAAUUUAUUGUAUUAGAAUGAAAUAAACAGCACUUUUCAUUUC